Molecule: ribosomal RNA, 468 nt
Filed under: uncultured bacterium
Lineage: Bacteria
Description: partial 16S ribosomal RNA
Rfam family: Bacterial small subunit ribosomal RNA
Source: RNAcentral
GACGAACGCUGGCGGCGUGCUUAACACAUGCAAGUCGAACGGAAAGGCCCUGCUUUUGUGGGGUGCUCGAGUGGCGAACGGGUGAGUAACACGUGAGUAACCUGCCCUUGACUUUGGGAUAACUUCAGGAAACUGGGGCUAAUACCGGAUAGGAGCUCCUGCUGCAUGGUGGGCGUUGGAACGUUUCGGCGGUUGGGGAUGGACUCGCGGCUUAUCAGCUUGUUGGUGGGGGAGGGGCUUACCAAGGCUUUGACGGGUAGCCGGCCUGAGAGGGUGACCGGCCACAUUGGUACUGAGAGACGGCCCAGACUCCUACGGGAGGCAGCAGUGGGGAAUAUUGCACAAUGGGCGGAAGCCUGAUGCAGCAACGCCGCGUGCGGGAUGACGGCCUUCGGGUUGUAAACCGCUUUCGCCUGUGACGAAGCGUGAGUGACGGUAAUGGGUAAAGAAGCACCGGCUAACUACGUG